AGCUCAGUGGUGAAGCACUUGCCUAGCAUGCAAGAGAGCCUGGGUUCCAUCCCCAG
Molecule: transfer RNA, 56 nt
Filed under: Heterocephalus glaber (naked mole-rat)
Lineage: Eukaryota; Metazoa; Chordata; Mammalia; Rodentia; Bathyergidae
Rfam family: tRNA
About the family: Transfer RNA (tRNA) molecules are approximately 80 nucleotides in length. Their secondary structure includes four short double-helical elements and three loops (D, anti-codon, and T loops).
Source: Rfam by way of RNAcentral